GCGAACAGAAGGGAGCUUGCUCCGGUAUGUUAGCGGACGGACGGGUUGAGUAACACGUGGGUAACCUGCCUGUAAGACUGGGAUAACUCCGGGAAACCGGAGCUAAUACCGGAUAGUUCCUUGAACCGCAUGGUUCAAGGAUGAAAGACGGUUUCGGCUGUCACUUACAGAUGGACCCGCGGCGCAUUAGCUAGUUGGUGGGGUAAUGGCUCACCAAGGCGACGAUGCGUAGCGACCUGAGAGGGUGAUCGGCCACACUGGGACUGAGACACGGCCCAGACUCCUACGGGAGGCAGCAGUAGGGAAUCUUCCGCAAUGGACGAAAGUCUGACGGAGCAACGCCGCGUGAGUAAUGAAGGUUUUCGGAUCGUAAAGCUCUGUUGUUAGGGAAGAACACAGUGCGAGAGUAACURCUCGCACCUUGACGGUACCUAACCAGAAAGCCACGGCUAACUACGUGCCAGCAGCCGCGGUAAUACGUAGGUGGCAAGCGUUGUCCGGAAUUAUUGGGCGUAAAGGGCUCGCAGGCGGUUUCUUAAGUCUGAUGUGAAAGCCCCCGGCUCAACCGGGGAGGGUCAUUGGAAACUGGGAAACUUGAGUGCAGAAGAGGAGAGUGGAAUAACACGUGUAGCGGUGAAAUGCGUAGAGAUGUGGAGGAACACCAGUGGCGAAGGCGACUCUCUGGUCUGUAACUAACGCUGGGGAGCGAAGGGGGGGGAGCGAACAGGAUUAG
Molecule: ribosomal RNA, 733 nt
Filed under: Bacillus sp. Bt 32
Lineage: Bacteria; Bacillati; Bacillota; Bacilli; Caryophanales; Bacillaceae
Description: bacterial SSU rRNA
Rfam family: Bacterial small subunit ribosomal RNA
Source: RNAcentral